AGCCCAGUAAACAGAGAUAGGUCAAAGGAAGAUCGGUGACCAAAUCUCAACUAAAUUCCACCACGUGUUAACUGCGCAACGAGACAGGGGUACGUGUGAAGGGACAGAAAACGUCACCAACUUCACCGAUAGAAAAGCUAUCACCGGGAAGAUAUCGGACUCCACCGGAAACAAACCGGAACAGGAAGCCAGAAUAACAAAGCCACCGACCGCAAUCCCUUAACGAUUUGAAAACCAGUUUUCUCUCU
RNAcentral lists this long non-coding RNA (248 nucleotides) under Brassica napus (rape). RNAcentral's name for it is "long non-coding RNA (BNAP_LNC011460)". Lineage: Eukaryota; Viridiplantae; Streptophyta; Magnoliopsida; Brassicales; Brassicaceae. The record is from RNAcentral.